RNAcentral lists this ribosomal RNA (1923 nucleotides) under Escherichia coli. Its description in RNAcentral is "partial 23S ribosomal RNA". It matches the Rfam family "Bacterial large subunit ribosomal RNA", at positions 1012 to 2915 of the family's 2925-position model. The record is from RNAcentral. Lineage: Bacteria; Pseudomonadati; Pseudomonadota; Gammaproteobacteria; Enterobacterales; Enterobacteriaceae.
GAAGAGGGAAACAACCCAGACCGCCAGCUAAGGUCCCAAAGUCAUGGUUAAGUGGGAAACGAUGUGGGAAGGCCCAGACAGCCAGGAUGUUGGCUUAGAAGCAGCCAUCAUUUAAAGAAAGCGUAAUAGCUCACUGGUCGAGUCGGCCUGCGCGGAAGAUGUAACGGGGCUAAACCAUGCACCGAAGCUGCGGCAGCGACACUAUGUGUUGUUGGGUAGGGGAGCGUUCUGUAAGCCUGUGAAGGUGUGCUGUGAGGCAUGCUGGAGGUAUCAGAAGUGCGAAUGCUGACAUAAGUAACGAUAAAGCGGGUGAAAAGCCCGCUCGCCGGAAGACCAAGGGUUCCUGUCCAACGUUAAUCGGGGCAGGGUGAGUCGACCCCUAAGGCGAGGCCGAAAGGCGUAGUCGAUGGGAAACAGGUUAAUAUUCCUGUACUUGGUGUUACUGCGAAGGGGGGACGGAGAAGGCUAUGUUGGCCGGGCGACGGUUGUCCCGGUUUAAGCGUGUAGGCUGGUUUUCCAGGCAAAUCCGGAAAAUCAAGGCUGAGGCGUGAUGACGAGGCACUACGGUGCUGAAGCAACAAAUGCCCUGCUUCCAGGAAAAGCCUCUAAGCAUCAGGUAACAUCAAAUCGUACCCCAAACCGACACAGGUGGUCAGGUAGAGAAUACCAAGGCGCUUGAGAGAACUCGGGUGAAGGAACUAGGCAAAAUGGUGCCGUAACUUCGGGAGAAGGCACGCUGAUAUGUAGGUGAAGCGACUUGCUCGUGGAGCUGAAAUCAGUCGAAGAUACCAGCUGGCUGCAACUGUUUAUUAAAAACACAGCACUGUGCAAACACGAAAGUGGACGUAUACGGUGUGACGCCUGCCCGGUGCCGGAAGGUUAAUUGAUGGGGUCAGCGCAAGCGAAGCUCUUGAUCGAAGCCCCGGUAAACGGCGGCCGUAACUAUAACGGUCCUAAGGUAGCGAAAUUCCUUGUCGGGUAAGUUCCGACCUGCACGAAUGGCGUAAUGAUGGCCAGGCUGUCUCCACCCGAGACUCAGUGAAAUUGAACUCGCUGUGAAGAUGCAGUGUACCCGCGGCAAGACGGAAAGACCCCGUGAACCUUUACUAUAGCUUGACACUGAACAUUGAGCCUUGAUGUGUAGGAUAGGUGGGAGGCUUUGAAGUGUGGACGCCAGUCUGCAUGGAGCCGACCUUGAAAUACCACCCUUUAAUGUUUGAUGUUCUAACGUUGACCCGUAAUCCGGGUUGCGGACAGUGUCUGGUGGGUAGUUUGACUGGGGCGGUCUCCUCCUAAAGAGUAACGGAGGAGCACGAAGGUUGGCUAAUCCUGGUCGGACAUCAGGAGGUUAGUGCAAUGGCAUAAGCCAGCUUGACUGCGAGCGUGACGGCGCGAGCAGGUGCGAAAGCAGGUCAUAGUGAUCCGGUGGUUCUGAAUGGAAGGGCCAUCGCUCAACGGAUAAAAGGUACUCCGGGGAUAACAGGCUGAUACCGCCCAAGAGUUCAUAUCGACGGCGGUGUUUGGCACCUCGAUGUCGGCUCAUCACAUCCUGGGGCUGAAGUAGGUCCCAAGGGUAUGGCUGUUCGCCAUUUAAAGUGGUACGCGAGCUGGGUUUAGAACGUCGUGAGACAGUUCGGUCCCUAUCUGCCGUGGGCGCUGGAGAACUGAGGGGGGCUGCUCCUAGUACGAGAGGACCGGAGUGGACGCAUCACUGGUGUUCGGGUUGUCAUGCCAAUGGCACUGCCCGGUAGCUAAAUGCGGAAGAGAUAAGUGCUGAAAGCAUCUAAGCACGAAACUUGCCCCGAGAUGAGUUCUCCCUGACUCCUUGAGAGUCCUGAAGGAACGUUGAAGACGACGACGUUGAUAGGCCGGGUGUGUAAGCGCAGCGAUGCGUUGAGCUAACCGGUACUAAUGAACCGUGAG